Molecule: non-coding RNA, 419 nt
Filed under: unclassified sequences
Description: Giant, ornate, lake- and Lactobacillales-derived (GOLLD) RNA
Rfam family: Giant, ornate, lake- and Lactobacillales-derived (GOLLD) RNA
Source: Rfam by way of RNAcentral
AGAAGGAGCGCGGCAUUCGGCAUCUCGAAAGGGGUGUCGAACCGCAGGUGACGCGCUUCUCGAUCGGUUUCCUACACUGGGAAGUGGUUGCGAACCAUUAAAGCAAAAGCCGUCACCCCUGGUCGAGCGCAACGACUUAACACUGCGGGCGCAAGCCAACGCAGUCGGUUGAUUCUGCAAGGAGUCACCGUUGAUCUCGGAGGAUUCGGAGGGCGUAAGCUGCCCUAGCCGGACGCAAAGCGGACGGGUCCGAUGAGGUCGAAAGCAAGAUCAGCAGGGAUGAAAUGCCACAUCUUAAAAAAGGCAGUCGUGCUGGAUACGCCGCAGUGAGAGCCGCGAGCGUGGACAAAGCGGGAACACCGGCUAGCUGCCGGGAGAUAUCCGCGCAAAGGCCAGCGAUGACGGCAUAGUCUCAGCCC